AUGUCUUCCUCCACCUCCUCCUCCCAGCCAACCCUCAGCGGAGGAGUCACGGAGAAACUCUCCCACACCAACUACAUCCCGUGGCGAACCCAGAUCACGCCACAGCUGCGGGGCGCCGGCGUCUACCACUACGUCGACGGCACAUCGACCGAGCCGGCCAAAACCCACGUCACCAAAGAUGCCGCUGGGAAAGAAACUACGGAGCCGAACCCUCUUCAUCCGCUCUAG
RNAcentral lists this ribosomal RNA (228 nucleotides) under Triticum aestivum (bread wheat). RNAcentral describes it as "partial small subunit ribosomal RNA". The record is from RNAcentral. Lineage: Eukaryota; Viridiplantae; Streptophyta; Magnoliopsida; Poales; Poaceae.